RNAcentral lists this ribosomal RNA (505 nucleotides) under uncultured bacterium. Its description in RNAcentral is "partial 16S ribosomal RNA". It matches the Rfam family "Bacterial small subunit ribosomal RNA", at positions 28 to 507 of the family's 1533-position model. The record is from RNAcentral.
GACGAACGCUGGCGGCGUGCCUAAUACAUGCAAGUAGAACGCACAGUUUAUACCUUAGCUUGCUACACCAUAGACUGUGAGUUGCGAACGGGUGAGUAACGCGUAGGUAACCUGCCUGGUAGCGGGGGAUAACUAUUGGAAACGAUAGCUAAUACCGCAUAAUAUUAAUUAUUGCAUGAUAAUUAAUUGAAAGGUGCAAUUGCACCACUACCAGAUGGACCUGCGUUGUAUUAGCUAGUAGGUGAGGUAACGGCUCACCUAGGCGACGAUACAUAGCCGAACGGAGAGGGGGGUCGGCCACCCUGGGACUGAGACACGGCCCAGACUCCUACGGGAGGGAGCAGUAGGGAAUCGUCGGCAAUGGACGAAAGUCUGACCGAGCAACGCCGAGUGAGUGAAGAAGGUGUUCGGAUCGUAAAGCUCUGUUGUAAGAGAAGAACGGGUGUGAGAGUGGAAAGUUCACACUGUGACGGUAUCUGACCAGAAAGGGACGGCUAACUACGUG